GACGAACGCUGGCGGCGUGCUUAACACAUGCAAGUCGAACGGAAGGCCCUGCUUUUGUGGGGUGCUCGAGUGGCGAACGGGUGAGUAACACGUGAGUAACCUGCCCUUGACUUUGGGAUAACUUCAGGAAACUGGGGCUAAUACCGGAUAGGAGCUCCUGCUGCAUGGUUGGGGUUGGAAAGUUUCGGCGGUUGGGGAUGGACUCGCGGCUUAUCAGCUUGUUGGUGGGGUAGUGGCUUACCAAGGCUUUGACGGGUAGCCGGCCUGAGAGGGUGACCGGCCACAUUGGGACUGAGAUACGGCCCAGACUCCUACGGGAGGCAGCAGUGGGGAAUAUUGCACAAUGGGCGGAAGCCUGAUGCAGCAACGCCGCGUGCGGGAUGACGGCCUUCGGGUUGUAAACCGCUUUCGCCUGUGACGAAGCGUGAGUGACGGUAAUGGGUAAAGAAGCACCGGCUAACUACGUG
RNAcentral lists this ribosomal RNA (467 nucleotides) under uncultured bacterium. RNAcentral's name for it is "partial 16S ribosomal RNA". It matches the Rfam family "Bacterial small subunit ribosomal RNA", at positions 28 to 507 of the family's 1533-position model. The record is from RNAcentral.